GAUGAACGCUGACAGAAUGCUUAACACAUGCAAGUCGACUCGAGUCUUCGGACUUGGGUGGCGCACGGGUGAGUAACGCGUAAAGAACUUGCCUCUUAGACUGGGACAACAUCUGGAAACGGAUGCUAAUACCGGAUAUUAUGGUUUCUUCGCAUGGAGGAAUCAUGAAAGCUAGAUGCGCUAAGAGAGAGCUUUGCGUCCCAUUAGCUGGUUGGUGAGGUAACGGCCCACCAAGGCAAUGAUGGGUAGCCGGCCUGAGAGGGUGAACGGCCACAAGGGGACUGAGACACGGCCCUUACUCCUACGGGAGGCAGCAGUGGGGAAUAUUGGACAAUGGACCACAAGUCUGAUCCAGCAAUUCUGUGUGCACGAUGACGUUUUUCGGAGUGUAAAGUGCUUUCAGUCGGGAAGAAGUCAGUGACGGUACCGACAGAAGAAGCGACGGCUAAAUACGUGCCAGCAGCCGCGGUAAUACGUAUGUCGCAAGCGUUAUCCGGAUUUAUUGGGCGUAAAGCGCGUCUAGGCGGCAAGGAAAGUCUGAUGUGAAAAUGCGGAGCUCAACUCCGUAUGGCGUUGGAAACUGCCUUACUAGAGUACUGGAGAGGUAGGCGGAACUACAGUGUAGAGGUGAAAUUCGUAGAUAUUUGUAGGAAUGCCGAUGGGGAAGCCAGCCUACUGGACAGAUACUGACGCUGAAGCGCGAAAGCGUGGGUAGCAAACAGG
Molecule: ribosomal RNA, 723 nt
Filed under: uncultured Fusobacterium sp.
Lineage: Bacteria; Fusobacteriati; Fusobacteriota; Fusobacteriia; Fusobacteriales; Fusobacteriaceae
Description: bacterial SSU rRNA
Rfam family: Bacterial small subunit ribosomal RNA
Source: RNAcentral